ACUACGGGCGGCAGCAGUGAGGAAUAUUGGUCAAUGGACGGAAGUCUGAACCAGCCAUGCCGCGUGCAGGAAGACGGCUCUAUGAGUUGUACACUGCUUUUGUACAGGGUAAACCUGAACUCGUGUAUUUAGCUGAAAGUACUGUACGAAUAAGGAUCGGCUAACUCCGUGCCAGAUGCCGCGUUAAUUGGGGGGAUCCAAGCGUUAUCCGGAUUUUUUGGGUUUAAAGGGUGCGUAGGCGGAUGUAUAAGUUAGAGGUGAAAAGUCCGAGCUUAACUCGGGAACUGCCUUCAAUACUGUUGAUCUAGAGAGUAGAUGCGGUAAGCGGAAUGUAUGGUGUAGCGGUGAAAUGCUUAGAGAUCAUACAGAACACCGAUUGCGAAGGCAGCUUACCAAUCUAUAUCUGACGUUGAGGCACGAAAGCGUGGGGAGCAAACAGGAUUAGAUACCCCGGUAGUC
Molecule: ribosomal RNA, 459 nt
Filed under: uncultured bacterium
Lineage: Bacteria
Description: partial 16S ribosomal RNA
Rfam family: Bacterial small subunit ribosomal RNA
Source: RNAcentral